UACGUAGGGUGCGAGCGUUGUCCGGAAUUAUUGGGCGUAAAGAGCUCGUAGGCGGUCUGUCGCGUCGGUCGUGAAAACUUGGGGCUUAACCCUGAGCUUGCGGUCGAUACGGGCAUGACUGGAGUUCGGCAGGGGAGACUGGAAUUCCUGGUGUAGCGGUGAAAUGCGCAGAUAUCAGGAGGAACACCAAUAGCGAAGGCAGCUCGCUGGGACGUUACUGACGCUGAGGCGCGAAAGCGUGGGGAGCAAACAGG
RNAcentral lists this ribosomal RNA (254 nucleotides) under uncultured bacterium. RNAcentral describes it as "partial 16S ribosomal RNA". It matches the Rfam family "Bacterial small subunit ribosomal RNA", at positions 524 to 776 of the family's 1533-position model. The record is from RNAcentral.